Molecule: transfer RNA, 72 nt
Filed under: Ictidomys tridecemlineatus (thirteen-lined ground squirrel)
Lineage: Eukaryota; Metazoa; Chordata; Mammalia; Rodentia; Sciuridae
Description: Spermophilus tridecemlineatus (thirteen-lined ground squirrel) tRNA
Rfam family: tRNA
About the family: Transfer RNA (tRNA) molecules are approximately 80 nucleotides in length.
Source: Rfam by way of RNAcentral
GAGGAUAUAGUUCAACGGUAGAGCACUUGCCUAGCAUGUGCAAGGCCCUGGGUUCUAUCCCCAGCACCUUCA